UGGGGAAUUGUUCACAAUGGGCGCAAGCCUGAUGACGCAACGCCGCGUGGGGGAUGAAGGUCUUCGGAUUGUAAACCCCUGUCGAAUGGGACGAAAGACUCGCGAGUUAAUACUUCGCGGGAGUGACGGUACCGUUAAAGGAAGCCACGGCUAACUCUGUGCCAGCAGCCGCGGUAAUACAGAGGUGGCAAGCGUUGUUCGGAAUUACUGGGCGUAAAGGGCGCGUAGGCGGCCUACUAAGUCAGACGUGAAAUCCCCCGGCUUAACCUGGGAACUGCGUCUGAUACUGGAAGGCUUGAGUAUGGGAGAGGGAUGUAGAAUUCCAGGUGUAGCGGUGAAAUGCGUAGAUAUCUGGAGGAAUACCGGUGGCGAAGGCGGCAUCCUGGACCAUUACUGACGCUGAGGCGCGAAAGCUAGGGGAGCAAACGGGAUUAGAUACCCAAGAGUCCCUGAGCGGGCUGGCAAGGCGCAU
RNAcentral lists this ribosomal RNA (472 nucleotides) under uncultured bacterium. RNAcentral describes it as "bacterial SSU rRNA". It matches the Rfam family "Bacterial small subunit ribosomal RNA", at positions 355 to 825 of the family's 1533-position model. The record is from RNAcentral.